UCGAGCGGGUUUAUCCUUCGGGGUAAGCUAGCGGCGGACGGGUGAGUAACACGUAGGUAACCUGCCUAUAAGAUCGGGAUAACUAUCGGAAACGAUAGCUAAGACCGGAUAAUUGGUUUUCUCGCAUGAGAGAAUUAUGAAACACGGAGCAAUCUGUGGCUUAUAGAUGGGCCUGCGGCGCAUUAGCUAGUUGGUAGGGUAACGGCCUACCAAGGCGACGAUGCGUAGCCGACCUGAGAGGGUGAACGGCCACACUGGGACUGAGACACGGCCCAGACUCCUACGGGAGGCAGCAGUAGGGAAUCUUCCGCAAUGGACGCAAGUCUGACGGAGCAACGCCGCGUGAGUGAUGAAGGUUUUCGGAUCGUAAAGCUCUGUUGCCCUAGACGAACAGCAAGGAGAGUAACUGCUCUUUGUGUGACGGUAUAGGAGAAGAAAGCCCCGGCUAACUACGUGCCAUCAUCCGCGGUAAUACGUAGGGGGCAAGCGUUGUCCGGAAUUAUUGGGCGUAAAGCGCGCGCAGGCGGUCAAUUAAGUUGGGUGUUUAAGCCCGGGGCUCAACCCCGGUUCGCAUCCAAAACUGGUUGACUUGAGUGUAGGAGAGGAAAGUGGAAUUCCACGUGUAGCGGUGAAAUGCGUAGAGAUGUGGAGGAACACCAGUGGCGAAGGCGACUUUCUGGCCUAUAACUGACGCUGAGGCGCGAAAGCGUGGGGAGCAAACAGGAUUAGAUACCCUGGUAGUCCACGCCGUAAACGAUGCAUACUAGGUGUUGGGGAUUCGAUUCCUCGGUGCCGAAGUUAACACAGUAAGUAUGCCGCCUGGGGAGUACGCUC
RNAcentral lists this ribosomal RNA (834 nucleotides) under Paenibacillus sp. PBS3-15_Pa. Its description in RNAcentral is "bacterial SSU rRNA". It matches the Rfam family "Bacterial small subunit ribosomal RNA", at positions 62 to 887 of the family's 1533-position model. Lineage: Bacteria; Bacillati; Bacillota; Bacilli; Caryophanales; Paenibacillaceae. The record is from RNAcentral.